AGUGAACGCUGGCGGCGUGCCUAAUACAUGCAAGUCGAACGGAGUGGCGCACGGGUGAGAAAUAUAUAGCUAAUCUGCCCCUUGCUGGAGGACAACAGUUAGAAAUGACUGCUAAUACUCCAUAGCAAGGGAUGAGACUAUAUCGUAUCAGCUAGUCGGUGGGGUAACGGCCUACCGAGGCUAUGACGCGUAACUGGUCUGAGAGGAUGAUCAGUCACAUUGGAACUGAGACACGGUUCAAACACCUACGGGAGGGAGCAGUAGGGAAUACUGCGCAAUGGGGGAAACUCUGACACGGCAACGCCGCGUAGAGGAUGACACUUUUCGAAGCGUAAGCUCGUUUUGUUAGGGAAGCGGUACCUAACGAAUAAGCACCGGCUAACUCCGUGCCAGCCGCCGCGGUAAUUC
This 408-nucleotide ribosomal RNA is filed under the name uncultured bacterium. RNAcentral's name for it is "partial 16S ribosomal RNA". It matches the Rfam family "Bacterial small subunit ribosomal RNA", at positions 29 to 526 of the family's 1533-position model. The record is from RNAcentral.